AUUGAACGCUGGCGGCAUGCCUUACACAUGCAAGUCGAACGGUAACAGGUCUUCGGAUGCUGACGAGUGGCGAACGAGUGAGUAAUACAUCGGAACGUGCCCGAUCGUGGGGGAUAACGGAGCGAAAGCUUUGCUAAUACCGCAUACGAUCUACGGAUGAAAGCAGGGGACCGCAAGGCCUUGCGCGGACGGAGCGGCCG
RNAcentral lists this ribosomal RNA (200 nucleotides) under uncultured bacterium. RNAcentral's name for it is "partial 16S ribosomal RNA". It matches the Rfam family "Bacterial small subunit ribosomal RNA", at positions 30 to 232 of the family's 1533-position model. The record is from RNAcentral.